CCUACGGGAGGCAGCAGUGAGGAAUAUUGGUCAAUGGCCGGAAGGCUGAACCAGCCAUGCCGCGUGAAGGUCAGUGCCCUAUGGGCGUUAAACUUCUUUUGUGCGGGAGCAAUAAUGGUCACGUGUGGCCAGACGAGAGUACCGUACGAAUAAGCAUCGGCUAACUCCGUGCCAGCAGCCGCGGUAAUACGGGGGAUGCAAGCGUUAUCCGGAUUUAUUGGGUUUAAAGGGUGCGUAGGCUGGGAGGUAAGUCAGCGGUGAAAUGCCCCCGCUCAACGGGGUGAAGUGCCAUUGAUACUGCCUGGCUGGAAUGCGGAUGCGGUGGGAGGAAUGUGUGGUGUAGCGGUGAAAUGCAUAGAUAUCACACAGAACACCGAUUGCGAAGGCAUCUCACGAAUCCGCGAUUGACGCUGAUGCACGAAAGCGUGGGUAUCAAACAGGAUUAGAUACCCCUGUAGUC
Molecule: ribosomal RNA, 460 nt
Filed under: uncultured bacterium
Lineage: Bacteria
Description: partial 16S ribosomal RNA
Rfam family: Bacterial small subunit ribosomal RNA
Source: RNAcentral